GUACAUUCCAAGCGCUUAGUACAGAGCUCUGCACUAAGAUCAAGUGUAGUAUCUGUUCUUAUCAGUUUAAUAUCUGAUAUGUCCUCUAUCCGAGGACAAUUUUUAUGGAGAAGCAGC
Molecule: small nuclear RNA, 117 nt
Filed under: Ornithorhynchus anatinus (platypus)
Lineage: Eukaryota; Metazoa; Chordata; Mammalia; Monotremata; Ornithorhynchidae
Description: U2 spliceosomal RNA (ENSOANG00000026248.2)
Rfam family: U2 spliceosomal RNA
About the family: U2 is a small nuclear RNA (snRNA) component of the spliceosome (involved in pre-mRNA splicing). Complementary binding between U2 snRNA (in an area lying towards the 5' end but 3' to hairpin I) and the branchpoint sequence (BPS) of the intron results the bulging out of an unpaired adenosine, on the BPS, which initiates a nucleophilic attack at the intronic 5' splice site, thus starting the first of two transesterification reactions that mediate splicing.
Source: Rfam by way of RNAcentral